CAGUAGCCGCGGGAACACCAGCAGCCCAAGUGGUGGUCGCGUUUAUUGGGCCUAAAGCGCUCGUAGCCUGGCCGGUAAGUUCCCCGUGAAACCAGGUCGCCCAACGAUUCGGCUUGCGGGGAAUACUGUCGGUCUUGGGGCCGGGAGACGCCGAGGGUACUCCGGGGGUAGCGGUGAAAUGCUGUAAUCCUCGGGGGACUACCAGUGGCGGAGGCGCUCGGCGAUAACGGGCCUGACGGUGAGGGGCGAAAGCUGGGGGCGCGAACGGGAUUAGAUACCCGAGUAGUCCCUGUCUCUUAUA
This 301-nucleotide ribosomal RNA is filed under the name uncultured bacterium. RNAcentral's name for it is "partial 16S ribosomal RNA". It matches the Rfam family "Archaeal small subunit ribosomal RNA", at positions 459 to 759 of the family's 1478-position model. The record is from RNAcentral.